Molecule: ribosomal RNA, 253 nt
Filed under: uncultured bacterium
Lineage: Bacteria
Description: partial 16S ribosomal RNA
Rfam family: Bacterial small subunit ribosomal RNA
Source: RNAcentral
UACAGAGGGUGCAAGCGUUAAUCGGAGUUACUGGGCGUAAAGGGCGCGUAGGCGGUUAUAUAAGUUUCAUGUGAAAUCCCUGGGCUCAACCUAGGAACUGCAUGAGAUACUGUAUGACUGGAGUACUGUAGAGGGUAGUGGAAUUUCCGGUGUAGCGGUGAAAUGCGUAGAGAUCGGAAGGAACACCAGUGGCGAAGGCGGCUACCUGGACAGAUACUGACGCUGAGGCGCGAGAGCGUGGGGAGCAAACAGG